Molecule: long non-coding RNA, 444 nt
Organism: Photinus pyralis (common eastern firefly)
Lineage: Eukaryota; Metazoa; Arthropoda; Insecta; Coleoptera; Lampyridae
Exons: 2
Source: RefSeq, a predicted model, not a curated record
CAACUGCGGAGGACUUCCACCCGCCAUGUCGUUUAAUGGUGACCAAGUCACUACCGCUGUUGGCUAAAUGUGAGACACUUGAACGCCGGAAACAGUGCCCAGAUGUAUUGUGCCGGAUUGGCUAAUUGUAGAAACUCUGCAAUCUUUCGUGGCGUCUUGCCCAUUGUAUUGAUUCCGAUCGGAGUAGUAAUGCAGCGACCACUACGGCACCGAUACAACAACAAUAUCAUUUUUAUAUUGGAUGUCGCCCAGUGCCAUAUUAGUCAGCUCCUCGCGUCUGCAUGCCCCACUGUAGCCCAUUAUUAAAAUAACCUACAACGAGAAUACAAACAAGAUACUCCUGUAGCUAGUACCUACCCACUAGAACAAAAAAUUCUACUUACUUUUGUAUCUAAAUAAUGCUUGUCGUCAGCCUCCUGAAUAAAUCGAUUAAUUUGCUCUAAA